CUUCGACUAAGGUUCGAUUCGAGCGAAAGCGAGAAAGCGUUGCCGCAGGCAACGACCCGAAGGGCGAAACGCGCAGCGCUGAGUCAUCCUUCCCCCACCACCA
Molecule: small RNA, 103 nt
Filed under: Salmonella enterica
Lineage: Bacteria; Pseudomonadati; Pseudomonadota; Gammaproteobacteria; Enterobacterales; Enterobacteriaceae
Also listed under: 1 other name
Description: partial RtT sRNA
Rfam family: RtT RNA
About the family: This family represents a bacterial cis-regulatory element known as RtT RNA. The exact function of RtT is unknown although it is thought that it may be involved in changing the cellular response in relation to amino acid starvation.
Source: RNAcentral